RNAcentral lists this ribosomal RNA (253 nucleotides) under uncultured bacterium. RNAcentral's name for it is "partial 16S ribosomal RNA". It matches the Rfam family "Bacterial small subunit ribosomal RNA", at positions 524 to 776 of the family's 1533-position model. The record is from RNAcentral.
UACGAGGGGGGCGAGCGUUGUUCGGAAUUAUUGGGCGUAAAGGGUGCGUAGGCGGUUUGGUAAGUCUUGUGUGAAAUCUACAGGCUCAACUUGUAGUCUGCACGAGAAACUGCCGGGCUUGAGUGUGGGAGAGGUGAGUGGAAUUCCUGGUGUAGCGGUGAAAUGCGUAGAUAUCAGGAGGAACACCGGUGGUGUAGACGGCUCUCUGGACCGUAACUGACGCUGAGACACGAAAGCGUGGGUAGCAAACAGG